AAUCUUGCAUGAAGAGAUACAAAGUGGAGUUAGAGCCAAUGAUGAGUUGCCGCAUAUAUAUAUUUUCUCAAGUAAUCAUGCAAUAUAAUCUUGUAAUAUAGAGGUUGAAGAGGGUUUUUGCAUGCGGCAAGCAUCCUUGGCUCUACCUUCGUUCUGCAUUUGUCUCAUGCCAGAUU
This 176-nucleotide small RNA is filed under the name Manihot esculenta (cassava). RNAcentral's name for it is "precursor microRNA miR169ah". The record is from RNAcentral. Lineage: Eukaryota; Viridiplantae; Streptophyta; Magnoliopsida; Malpighiales; Euphorbiaceae.